This 253-nucleotide ribosomal RNA is filed under the name uncultured bacterium. RNAcentral's name for it is "partial 16S ribosomal RNA". It matches the Rfam family "Bacterial small subunit ribosomal RNA", at positions 524 to 776 of the family's 1533-position model. The record is from RNAcentral.
UACGUAUGGGGCUAGCGUUGUUCGGAAUUAUUGGGCGUAAAGGGCGUCUAGGCGGGGAAUUAAGUUAGGUGUGAAAUCCCUGGGCUCAACCCAGGAACUGCAUCUAAAACUGGUUCUCUUGAGUUCGGGAGAGGAGAGCGGAAUUCCCGGUGUAGCGGUGAAAUGCGUAGAUAUCGGGAAGAACACCAGUGGCGAAGGCGGCUCUCUGGCCUAGAACUGACGCUGAAGCGCGAAAGCGUGGGGAGCGAACGGG